Molecule: long non-coding RNA, 416 nt
Filed under: Phasianus colchicus (ring-necked pheasant)
Lineage: Eukaryota; Metazoa; Chordata; Aves; Galliformes; Phasianidae
Description: lncRNA (ENSPCLG00000009183.1)
Source: RNAcentral
CAUUGAGUGGGCCGUCUAAAGGGUGCUCAGAGAAAAAGUCUGCUAUUUGGUUUGUAAUUGCGGCCCUAGGCUUGAUGGGAGACGGUACCAGGAACUCAUCGCUAAGUUCCUCUUGCCUAAAAAGACAACUGUGAGCCUUGGUAACUUUGAUGUCAAGGCGAGAGAACAGGAAGAAGGAAAUAACAGCAAAACUGGCAAGGAAAGCAAUGUGAGGCUGAGAUAUUCCUACCAUUUUUCUCCCUUCUCUUACUGGUCGUGGUCAGUGCAGAAGAAUGCUUCUUCACUACUCAGUCUCCACAUCCAUUUGUGUCUUCUCAACAUCUAACAGUUGUUUGUUUGUUUUAUCCAUUCUAGAAUAGUCAGUUAUAUUUACUGAUCUAUUAUUCACUGGCAGUUUUUCAUAGUUGUCAUUAAAG